This 465-nucleotide ribosomal RNA is filed under the name uncultured bacterium. RNAcentral's name for it is "partial 16S ribosomal RNA". It matches the Rfam family "Bacterial small subunit ribosomal RNA", at positions 338 to 795 of the family's 1533-position model. The record is from RNAcentral.
CCUACGGGAGGCAGCAGUGGGGAAUAUUGCUCAAUGGGCGAAAGCCUGACGCAGCGACGCCGCGUGAGGGAUGAAUGUCUUCGGAUCGUAAACCUCUGUCAGCAGGGAAGAACGGUCACUGUGCUAAUCAGCAGUGACUUGACGUUCCCUGCAAAGGAAGCACCGGCUAACUCCGUGCCAGCAGCCACGGUAAUACGGAGGGUGCGGACGUUAAUGGGAAUUUCUGGUCUUAAGGCGCUCGUAGGCGGUAUGUCAAGUCAAGGGUGAAAUCCCCGCUCUCAACGGGGGAACUGCCUUUGAAACUGGCAAACUGGAAUGUGUGAGAGGAUAGUGGAAUUCCAGGUGUAGGAGUGAAAUCCGUAGAUAUCUGGAGGAACAUCAGUGGCGAAGGCGACUAUCUGGCACAUAACUGACGCUGAGGAGCGAAAGCGUGGGUAGCAAACAGGAUUAGAUACCCUUGUAGUC